Molecule: ribosomal RNA, 472 nt
Filed under: uncultured bacterium
Lineage: Bacteria
Description: bacterial SSU rRNA
Rfam family: Bacterial small subunit ribosomal RNA
Source: RNAcentral
UGGGGAAUAUUGGACAAUGGGCGAAAGCCUGAUCCAGCCAUGCCGCGUGUGUGAAGAAGGUCUUCGGAUUGUAAAGCACUUUAAGUUGGGAGGAAGGGCAGUAAAUUAAUACUUUGCUGUUUUGACGUUACCGACAGAAUAAGCACCGGCUAACUCUGUGCCAGCAGCCGCGGUAAUACAGAGGGUGCAAGCGUUAAUCGGAAUUACUGGGCGUAAAGUGCGCGUAGGUGGUUUGUUAAGUUGGAUGUGAAAUCCCCGGGCUCAACCUGGGAACUGCAUCCAAAACUGGCAAGCUAGAGUAUGGUAGAGGGUGGUGGAAUUUCCUGUGUAGCGGUGAAAUGCGUAGAUAUAGGAAGGAACACCAGUGGCGAAGGCGACCACCUGGACUGAUACUGACACUGAGGUGCGAAAGCGUGGGGAGCAAACAGGAUUAGAUACCCCCGUAGUCCCUGAGCGGGCUGGCAAGGCGCAU